This is a long non-coding RNA of Passer domesticus (house sparrow), 5932 nucleotides long. RefSeq lists it as uncharacterized. The transcript is spliced from 3 exons. NCBI's taxonomy places the organism in Eukaryota, Metazoa, Chordata, Aves, Passeriformes, Passeridae. The record is from RefSeq and is a predicted model, not a curated record.
UAUCACGGCAGUUUCCCAUCAGCGGGGUGCUGGAGCCGGGAUAACUCAGUGGAGGCUCAACACAGCAGCCUAAGCAAGUUAUAGUGAUUUUCAGCUCUUAGUGAUUAUCAGCUCAGUGAUUUCAGCCCUUUAGCUUGCUAGGUGCCACAGCACAGACGCAGGGAAAGAGAGGAGAAGGCCGUGUGAGGUUCCGCAGGAUUCUUUAUUCGGGUGUUCCGUGAAGGUUCCCAAUGACAGCUCUUCUGCCGAACCAGGCAGAAUCAGGGGUUUUUAUACCCUGCAGGGGUUUUGGAAACUGUCCAAUAGUAAGGAUGAGGGGAAAGUGGCCUAUAGGCUUACAGAGAGAUAAGCAGGGUCUGAAAGGUGGAAGAGAGGGGCUGCCAGGGUCCAGUCAUGAUAACUUGGCAUUUCCUAGCUCAGACUUCUGACCUCCAAGGAGGCCUUGCAGGCCCUGGGCCUGCUAAAGGGGAGAGGUGCUGCUGCACUGGGGCAAUUGCAACUAGAGAAGUGAGUGCGAAAAUGUGAGAGAAAGAGCUCUUCAACUUCCAAGAACAGUAGAGUGAAAGGGGAAAAUGUGUUCCAGGCUGCAGCAUGUGGUGAAGACCAUGGUGAGGCAGCUGUGCCCCAACAGUAUGUAGAAGUCCACAGAACACAGGUUCACCUGCUGCACCUGCAGGAUCCUGUGCUGGAGUAGGGGAUUGCCAAAAAAGUGGGAAAUUCAUGCCAGAGCAUGCUUCUGAUCAGACCUAUGGCUUCAUGGAGGGAGCUUUUUGUGCUUGAGUAGGUCUGCUGGCAAAAUCUGUGACCUUGGGAAUAGGACCCAUGCUGGAGUGGCUAAUGAAGAAAUGAUGCCCAUGGGAAGGACUCUUAUUGUGGAAAAUUAGGGAAGAUUGUCUCCCACAGGAGAGAUCCCACAGGGGAAGAGUGUGAGGAGGAAAGACUGGCAGAGCCAAUGUAUGACUGCAACUUUCCUUUCUGCACCACUGGCAAGGAGGAGGUGGAGAAUUUGGGAAUAGGGUUGAGUCUGGGAAGAAGAAAAGGGAGGAAAAAUAAAGAAAUUGCAGAGUGACUUUUUCAUUGACAGCAAAAGACUAAUGAGACAUGGUGAGUGAUCAGCGUGUUAUCACAGUGAGAGACUGUCUCGAUAAUUCCUAGCAUUAGGAAUUAGCCUUGGAAAAGCUUCUUUCUUUGAGGUUGUGUAGUUUGUCAGUGGGAAAGUGAGCUUCUAGCUAAGAUGUUACGAAACAGAAGAUAAAUGAAGAAAGAUCUGGCAUCAUAUAAAGAAUAUAGAAGAUAGCUAGAGAUGUGGAUGAUAUGAGAAGAAAAAGGAGCAUCAAAUGGAAGGAAAAAUUACUGAGAAAUAUUAUAUUCCUAUAUAGACUUAGAGGAUGACAUAGUGCUGCUUAAAUCGCAUUGCACAAGGACCUGGGACACAUGCCUCUACCUAUAAUGAAAAAGAGAGGCAAAAGACAGGACUGAACUGAUGAAAAAUUGUGAAAGCAAAUGAACCAGUAGUAGUGACAGUUUCAGACUUUAUUUGAGAAGCCUGUUGUGAUGUUAAGCCUUAGGAAGCAGGCAAAGUCCACCCAGCUGCUCAUUUACCAUCCCUCCUCUUCAGGACAGGAGAAGAACAUAAGAUGAAAAAAGAUCAUAAGUCAAGGAAAAGGCAGGAAGAUCACUCACUAAUUACUCUUAUUGACAAAAGAGACUUGGUUUGGGGGAGAACAAGUUUAAUUUGUUGCCCAAUAAAAGAGAUUAAAGUAGUGAGAAACAAAUACAAAUACUAAAACAACACCUUUUAUCACCUUUCUCUCAGGCUAAACUUCAGUUUUCAUUCCUGAUUCAGUUUUCAUUCCUGGAAUCAGUUUUCAUUCCUGAUUCUUCUAGGUGCCCGGGGCAAUGCAUUGGAAGGGUAUGUUUGAAGUGGGGAGGUAUGGUCAGGACAGUGAUUUGUCUCUGGUGCAUCUUCCUCUUUUUCCCUCCUCCACUGUGUAAAUCUCUCCACCGCUAUAGGGAAAUAUCUGUGGUGGCAGCUGUAGUAGCUUCUUCCUUUCCCCCUCUGCCCUUAAUAUGCACCUUCAUGUCUCCUACUACUUUUUCCCUUCUGACUAUACAGCAUCCUUGCCUUUUUUGGAAAGCAUUUUCCCCACAAAAUCAUUCCCCAGGUACCAUGACCUUUUCAGCAGGGCACAGCUGUGUCAUGUGGUGGGUCCACAGGAGGUGGCUGUAACCAGCUGGGUCCAGCACAGGACAGCCCCUCAGCCUCUUUCCACAGAGGCCACUCCUGCAGCACUCUCUGCCAGCGCCUGGGCACCUGCAUGGGGUGAAGAGCUGCUCGCUACGGACGGAUGUGGAAAUGCAAGCAGCCUUGCAGCAACAGGGGCUGCAGCAGGAGAAUAUGAUCUUGUGGUGGGAUGACACAGCUCAGUGAAGUAGGACACUCAUGGACUGGGGACCUCCUUUAAAGAGACUAGCCAAGCAGGCUGCCACCUCCUGUAAGUUGUAGGGUUCAAGAGAGAAGUGCUCCAGUGAAAACCCUGGCGUAAACCUAAGAGUAAAAUGGUCUAUUUUUCAACAGUUUAUUCAGACAUCUAAAGCACUGAGCGGCUUAUGCAAUACUUCAUUACUGGUGACUUAUAUUCUUCUUUUUUGAUUGAAUUUAUUUUAUCAGCUCUAAUGCUACAUGUGCAAAAAGGCAGCUGUUCAGGUUGGUUGGUUUUGAGUUUGAAGUUUUUUUGUAGGGGUUGACAGGAGGAAUAGGUGGUUGGUGUUUCUUAAUCUCAUUUCAAAAUAUUUUCCCCUUCCCCUGAGCUGCUUUAUUGAUACCUAAGUAGUUUCAAAAAUGUUUUACUCAAAACUUAGUGAAACAAGCAAUUUUUAUUUACUAAAACCAUACCAGUAUUCUAUAGGUGAAACAUCUAGAUGUCUUUCUUCUAACACGUGUCAAAUAAAAAUUUAUCAAUCUAAGAGUUUAAGACAAUAUUAAUACAUCCUUGGGAACAUGCACUUUCUGUAAUUUUUCCUCUGGUAGCACAUGAAUUUUUUGUUUCCUUUUUUUGUUUGCUUGUUUUGUUGAUUUUUUUUCUGUGUUUUAAGGUAACUGCAAAGUUUGUAUAUUUGCAAAUACUUACAGUUUUAUGUUACCAAUUAGAAAAAACCUUCUUAUAAAUGACAAGAAAUUCUGAAGUCAGAAUGCUUAGCAGCCUUGCAGAAUAAAAUAAAAUAAUAUUCUACUGGCUGUUACCAACUUUCAGUAAAGUACGUAAAUACAGUCAAAUUUCUGGUUUUAUUUGCUUUUUUAGUAACUGUCUGAUUUGUAUAGAACUGUUGUUCAAGAGAACUGCUUAUCCAAAGGAUAAAAAAGUAAAAAUUCACUGCAAGUGUGGGACCAGAACUUGGUUUUAAGCAUGAUAAUUUUACUUCAAACAGUAAAGUCAGUGAGUAUUACUAAUGUGUUUUAGAGAAUGAAAAAAAGAGCAUUCAAUUCUGAACACUAAAUUACUUUCUCUUUUUUUUCUCUUAAUUUAUUUUCAAUUAAUAUAUUCAAAUUUAACUUUAAAUUAAGAGAUUUUUCUGUGUUGAAAUUCUAUGAGCUUUGUAAAGCAUGCCUUUAUAGAAAAUAUUAUUUAGAAGGAAAGAGCACAAAUGACUACAUGGUCUGUAUCUAAAUUGCACAUUUGGUAUUGAUCCAGAUUUUUCAUUAACCAUCUGCAUGCCCAGAAUUAAGUGGGAAUGGCCAAAUGCUUUCUAUAUGUGUCUUCUACUGCAGAAAUGAGAUCAAACAUCCUGAAAAGAGCUGAGAAAAACAGUGAUGGAAUUCUCCUCCAUCAUUUUGGUAUUUUGGUGAUACACUUAAUAUUUUUACAAGACUUUGAGAAGUUUCUGGGAUGAUGCAUACUUCAAACCAGUGAAGAAUCCAUGACAAAUUCCUAGCUUGCUUUUGUCUAAUCUUCAGUGUUUACCUAGCAAAGAUGCCUAGGGGAUAUAGGAGAAGGAAAGCAGAAAGAUGGUGUUUAUGAAUUUAACAAGAUCAGUUUUCUUCCAUGUGCUUCAUUUUUGGAAUAGUUUUCAUGUGAGAGUGUAUCUAUGUGACUAUAUGCAUAUGCACACAAUUGUUCCUAUCAUGUUUUAAUAAACUGUUAUUUCUCUAAGAAAAUAAUGAACUUCGAUUAAGGAAUGUAUAUAAAAACAUAUUAAUAACUAAAUGUCUCAUCCUGAGUAAUAUUAAUAUUUUGCAGACUACAUAUUUAACUUUUUUUUUUUUAUUUCUACAAUAGCUUUUGAGAAGUCAGGUACUAGGACGUGAGAUUUCAUUCCUAGGAAUUUCAGUCUUUCAGCUACUGAAGUUGUUUCAGGUAUAUACAUUUAAAGGAAAAAAAGGAAAAAAAAUAAAGAAAAUGGAGGAAAAAGGAAAAAAUGAAGGAAAAUAAAAGGGAAAGAAAAAGGAAAAUGAAAGGAAAAGGAAAAGGAAAGGAAACGGAAAAGGAAAAGGGAAAGAAAAAGGAAAAUGAAAGGAAAAGGAAAAGGAAAAGGAAAAGGAAAAGGAAAAGGAAAAGGAAAAGGAAAAGGAAAAGGAAAAGGAAAAGGAAAAGGAAAAGGAAAAGGAAAAGGAAAAGGAAAAGGAAAAGGAAAAGGAAAAGGAAAAGGAGAAGGAAAAGGAAAAGGAAAAGGAAAAGUCUCCUAAACACUGAAACUGUUGCUAUGUUACUUUUUUAUACCUUGAAAAUUAGACUAAGUUUGAGUUCUUUUUUUUCCCGCUUCAGUUAAAAAUAGUUGCCAUACUGCCACCUUAUGGCUAAAUACAGAUUUAAAAAGUAAACAUUCCCACCCAGCUUGUCUUUUGAUAUUUUGGCAUUUUUUGUGCUUUCCACUGUGUUAAUAAAAAAUUUAAACUUUUACUCCCUCCAUAAAGCAAAUUAACUUUAAGUUUAAACUGCACCAUCAUUACCUGACUGUUUCUCUCAAACUGUAAGGACAAGAGUACAAGGUAAUGCACCCAUGAGUAUUAACACUAAUCUAUGUUUAGACCCAUGUGAAACUGUAUGGAAGUCUUUGAUCAACAUCUGCUUUCUACUGUGUUCAAGUCUGUAUACUAUACAGGACUUGUGAAUAAAAAAAAAAACAAAACAAACAACUAAAUGGAACCUAAAUCCAUAUGCCGAAAUGGAAUUGUGGCAUACAAUUAACCAACUGUAUGUGCAAGCCAGACAAAUCUUUUGAUUAAGUAAAAUGAAAAGAUAAAUGUAAUACAUUGUACUGUGUGAUAGAAUGUGUAAUUCAAAAAACUCAGGUGUGGGAAAAAUGUCUAGAAGUAAAAUUCUGCAACACUCUGUUAUUUAAACAAUGGAAAAAAAAAACCCACAAUGCCUGACAAAUUCAAAACUGAAAGUAAGCAAUUUACCUUUAUCAAAAGCAUUAAGAACUAUAUCAGGUCAUCCCUAUGUAAAAUAAUAAGAAGCUCAGACAAAUUACCCAAUCUUUUUGCUCUUUAACUUUCAAAAUAAAAUUCUUUCAAAUGAGUUCUUGGCAAUGAAAAGAUCCCAUCUGAAAAAGUGAGAAACCACAAAUGACAGAAGUACACUGAAGAUAGUGAACAACAUGAGCUUUAAUAAGAAAUACUUUGCAGAAAUACAAUGUUUAAUGAAAAAACACCUAAGUGCUGUCUAUAAUUAUAUAUCCAUUUUCUUAACUUAUAUGAUUGAAAAACUUUCAGGCAUCAUAUGUGAUUUUUCACAAUUUCUUCUCUGGAAUUCACUGUUAGUCAAUAUUCUUGAACAUUUGCUUAAAUUGUAUUCCCUUAGAAGAAUCUGUGGCUGAAAUAAUGUAGAAGAAAAUUAAAAAAAAAAAUUAACAGAGAUAAGUGGUGGUUUGGUUUUAGAUAAUUUUUGGGUUUGGGUUUGGGUUUGUUUUUUUUUUUUUCAGUAUUGAUUCA